ACAAAUGUCAGAGGGGAGUAGCGCUGAUUAGCUUUUUAAUCAGGAUAAAGUCGUCAUUACAUGAUAGAGAUAUCAUCGGUUUUAUCACAUUUAACUUUAAAUGUUAGCGAGACCUUUGCCUUUACG
This is a non-coding RNA of Listeria monocytogenes, 126 nucleotides long. NCBI's taxonomy places the organism in Bacteria, Bacillati, Bacillota, Bacilli, Caryophanales, Listeriaceae. The record is from Rfam.